Molecule: ribosomal RNA, 206 nt
Filed under: uncultured bacterium
Lineage: Bacteria
Description: partial 16S ribosomal RNA
Rfam family: Bacterial small subunit ribosomal RNA
Source: RNAcentral
GGCGUAGGUGGCCAUGUAAGUCAGGAGUGAAAGCCCUGGGCUCAACUCAGGAAGUGCUUUUGAUACUGCAUGGCUUGAAUGUGGGAGAGGGUAGUGGAAUUCCAAGUGUAGUGGUGAAAUACGUAGAUAUCUGGAGGAACACCGGUGGCGAAGGCGGCUACCUGGCCCAACAUUGACACUGAGGCCCGAAAGCGUGGGAUCAAACA